Molecule: ribosomal RNA, 447 nt
Filed under: uncultured Anaerolineaceae bacterium
Lineage: Bacteria; Bacillati; Chloroflexota; Anaerolineae; Anaerolineales; Anaerolineaceae
Description: bacterial SSU rRNA
Rfam family: Bacterial small subunit ribosomal RNA
Source: RNAcentral
ACCCGCACAAGCAGCGGAGCGUGUGGUUUAAUUCGUUGCUACACGAAGAACCUUACCUGGGUUUGACAUAUAGGUUGUAGGGAACUGAAAAGGGACCGACCUUCGGGGAGCCUAUACAGGUGUUGCAUGGCUGUCGUCAGCUCGUGUCGUGAGAUGUUCGGUUAAGUCCGCUAACGAGCGCAACCCUCGUCGUAUGUUAUAUGUGUCAUACGAGACUGCCGGUAAAAGCCGGAGGAAGGUGAGGAUGAUGUCAAGUCAGCAUGACCUUUAUAUCCAGGGCUACACACACGCUACAAUGGUCUGUACAAUGGGUAGCCAAGCCGCGAGGCGGAGCCAAUCCUGAAAGCAGGCCUCAGUUCAGAUUGCAGUCUGCAACUCGACUGCAUGAAGCCGGAGUUGCUAGUAACCGCAGGUCAGCAUGCCGCGGUGAAUACGUUCUCGGGGUUU